Molecule: unclassified non-coding RNA, 224 nt
Filed under: Hevea brasiliensis (rubber tree)
Lineage: Eukaryota; Viridiplantae; Streptophyta; Magnoliopsida; Malpighiales; Euphorbiaceae
Source: RNAcentral
GAAAACUUGUGCAGGAUGUUCAGUCUUGGCUCUGAUAUUUAUAGUACUCGUCGCAUUGACAUGCAUUGGGACACAUUUUGUGUAUGGAGGUAAUGGUGCAGAAGAGCCCUACCUGGUGGAGGGGCAUUACUCUCAGUUCACACUUGUAACAAUGACUUACGAUGCCCGGUUGUGGAAUUUGAAGAUGUUCGUGAGACAUUAUUCGAGAUGUUCUUCGGUACGAG